RNAcentral lists this long non-coding RNA (451 nucleotides) under Chinchilla lanigera (long-tailed chinchilla). RNAcentral describes it as "lncRNA (ENSCLAG00000025836.1)". The record is from RNAcentral. Lineage: Eukaryota; Metazoa; Chordata; Mammalia; Rodentia; Chinchillidae.
GUCAUAAGUGGCAUUAGCAUAGUGGUCUAUUCAUCUGAACAAAGCAGGGUAGCAAUAUGCUUCCCAGCAUAUGUUCAAAAGUAAAUUCUAGGAUAUCCCUGGUCUCUGUAAACAAGAGAAUGGAUAAACAACAAAGUCAGCAAUAAGUAGGAAUAAAUUUCUGCUCUCUGCAAUGACACAGUGUGUGGGAAGACAGCUAGGUAAGCAAGGAGAUAGGCUGACUAAUCACUUGGAUGCCAUUGGAAAUGGACAUAAGGAAAUGAGAGGAAACCAGAGAUGCUAAGAAGCCUCCGUAACAAUCCAGGCAAAAGGAGAAGGUAUCUUGGAAUGGGACCGUGAUAGCAGAGUGGGGAAAGGGAUACAUUUCAUAGGAGCCUAUAGGAACUGUGAGGGACCAGACAUAAGUGGUGAGGUCCAGGAGUAACUCAAGGCUGACCGCUCAGUUUCAGUC